This 213-nucleotide unclassified non-coding RNA is filed under the name Hevea brasiliensis (rubber tree). Lineage: Eukaryota; Viridiplantae; Streptophyta; Magnoliopsida; Malpighiales; Euphorbiaceae. The record is from RNAcentral.
AGAAAUUAAGGCUUUAAUCAUUCUGAGAUGGAAAAGUAAAGGGUCCAACAGUAACUGUGAGCUGGAAAUUAAAGUCCAACAGUGUAGAAGUCCCAUUUUCAUGCAUAUCUGCCAAAAUAUUCUUUACUUUUCAAAGUUAUUUGUAGGAGAAAGUUGUAUUCUUUCAAUAUUGGUUAAAGACCAAAACAUAGCAAUAAACACAAUCAAACCCAG